GCCUGGGUGGCUUAGUCGGUUAAGCGUCUGACUUCAGCUUAGGUCAUGAUCUCAGUUUGUGAGUUCAAGCCCACUUUGGGUG
This 82-nucleotide transfer RNA is filed under the name Felis catus (domestic cat). It matches the Rfam family "tRNA". Rfam says of the family: Transfer RNA (tRNA) molecules are approximately 80 nucleotides in length. The record is from Rfam by way of RNAcentral. RNAcentral also lists the same sequence under 4 other names. Lineage: Eukaryota; Metazoa; Chordata; Mammalia; Carnivora; Felidae.